AUUGAACGCUGGCGGCAGGCCUAACACAUGCAAGUCGAGCGGAUGAAGGGAGCUUGCUCCUGGAUUCAGCGGCGGACGGGUGAGUAAUGCCUAGGAAUCUGCCUGGUAGUGGGGGAUAACGUCCGGAAACGGGCGCUAAUACCGCAUACGUCCUGAGGGAGAAAGUGGGGGAUCUUCGGACCUCACGCUAUCAGAUGAGCCUAGGUCGGAUUAGCUAGUUGGUGGGGUAAAGGCCUACCAAGGCGACGAUCCGUAACUGGUCUGAGAGGAUGAUCAGUCACACUGGAACUGAGACACGGUCCAGACUCCUACGGGAGGCAGCAGUGGGGAAUAUUGGACAAUGGGCGAAAGCCUGAUCCAGCCAUGCCGCGUGUGUGAAGAAGGUCUUCGGAUUGUAAAGCACUUUAAGUUGGGAGGAAGGGUAGUAAGUUAAUACCUUGCUGUUUUGACGUACCAACAGAAUAAGCACCGGCUAACUUCGUG
This 483-nucleotide ribosomal RNA is filed under the name uncultured bacterium. Its description in RNAcentral is "partial 16S ribosomal RNA". It matches the Rfam family "Bacterial small subunit ribosomal RNA", at positions 30 to 507 of the family's 1533-position model. The record is from RNAcentral.